GCUGGCCGCCGCCGCCGUGCGCGAGCGCGCUGCUCCUCGGCUCCGACGGCCCGGCGGCCGCGCUCGGCCCGAUCCGUCCGCGGCAGCGUCGAGCCGAGCGGCGGCUGCGGCCGGAUCCCUCCGCCGCGCCCGCGAGCCCGCAGUGGCCCGCGGCCCGCGCUCCGAGGCGGCGACGCUGCGCGGCCCGGGUUAACGGCCGGCCUGGGCGCAGGCGCGGGCGGCGGCAUGGCCGGGGCGGCUCCGUCGGGGGGCGGCCCGCAGUGACAGACCCUGCGGCGCGGGGGGAGAUGGGGGCGGCCGCCUCCCGGGCGACGACGACGACGAGGAGCAGCCGCCGCCGCCGCGCACCGGCCGCCACUGGGGACGGGCGCGGGCAGGGAGCCUCCCCGUGAGCGGGGGGCCCGAGGCCUCUCGCCGCCCCCGGCCGCCCCGGUCCCGGCCGCCCCGGGCCCCCCCGG
This 458-nucleotide long non-coding RNA is filed under the name Marmota monax (woodchuck). The record is from RNAcentral. Lineage: Eukaryota; Metazoa; Chordata; Mammalia; Rodentia; Sciuridae.